UCCUUCAAGCUGCUGGGACUGGGGUAGUCCCCAGGAUGCUGCCUCACUGGCUCCCCCAGCCCCAAACGCCCCACUUCCACAUCCAGAACGUUGUGGGCACUUUCACUUUGCCCUCUUCCCUCCGUGUAGUUCAUCCUUAGUCUGAGAGUCAGUGGCUCAGAUGGUCCUGUUAGACUUCCAGAGGCUUCUGUACCAACCCGGCCUACAAGCAGGAGCAGCAGGGCAGACCCCCUCACUGUACCCUCAGCAUGACACAGAUCCAUCUUAGAACCAGCCAGGACCCCAAGGUCGCAAACUUCUUUCUCCCCUUGAUUUCUCCUGAUGGAUGCCACCAUCAAGAAGUGAGAGCUUCCAGCCUGUGGGCAGCCAGCAUCCUUUCAACUCACCCACCAUUACCAUUAGACUUGAAGGCCAAUCUCUCCCACUUCCUUUCCCCCCAAUAGAGGAGCAGUGUAAGGCUGGAAGGUAUAAAACCCACCCAUCUGCUGACUCCGACUUCACUGAAGAAA
This is a long non-coding RNA of Fukomys damarensis (Damara mole-rat), 509 nucleotides long. RefSeq lists it as uncharacterized. The record is from RefSeq and is a predicted model, not a curated record. The transcript is spliced from 4 exons. Lineage: Eukaryota; Metazoa; Chordata; Mammalia; Rodentia; Bathyergidae.